RNAcentral lists this ribosomal RNA (492 nucleotides) under uncultured bacterium. RNAcentral describes it as "partial 16S ribosomal RNA". It matches the Rfam family "Bacterial small subunit ribosomal RNA", at positions 29 to 507 of the family's 1533-position model. The record is from RNAcentral.
AGUGAACGCUGGCGGUAGGCCUAACACAUGCAAGUCGAACGGCAGCACAGUAAGAGCUUGCUCUUACGGGUGGCGAGUGGCGGACGGGUGAGGAAUACAUCGGAAUCUACUUUUUCGUGGGGGAUAACGUAGGGAAACUUACGCUAAUACCGCAUACGACCUACGGGUGAAAGCAGGGGAUCUUCGGACCUUGCGCGAUUGAAUGAGCCGAUGUCGGAUUAGCCAGUUGGCGGGGUAAAGGCCCACCAAGGCGACGAUCCGUAGCUGGUCUGAGAGGAUGAUCAGCCACACUGGAACUGAGACACGGUCCAGACUCCUACGGGAGGCCGCAGUGGGGAAUAUUGGACAAUGGGCGCAAGCCUGAUCCAGCCAUACCGCGUGGGUGAAGAAGGCCUUCGGGUUGUAAAGCCCUUUUGUUGGGAAAGAAAAGCAGCAGGUUAAUACCCCGCUGUUCUGACGGUACCCAAAGAAUAAGCACCGGCUAACUUCGUG